GACGAACGCUGGCGGCGUGCUUAACACAUGCAAGUCGAACGGAAAGGCCCCUUUGGGGGUACUCGAGUGGCGAACGGGUGAGUAACACGUGAGUAACCUGCCCUUGACUUCGGGAUAACUUCAGGAAACUGGGGCUAAUACCGGAUAGGAAUCCUUGCUGCAUGGUGGGGGUUGGAAAGCUUCGGCGGUUUUGGAUGGACUCGCGGCUUAUCAGCUUGUUGGUGGGGUAGUGGCUUACCAAGGCUUUGACGGGUAGCCGGCCUGAGAGGGCGACCGGCCACAGUGGGACUGAGAUACGGCCCAGACGCCGACGGGAGGCAGCAGUGGGGAAUAUUGCACAAUGGGCGGAAGCCUGAUGCAGCAACGCCGCGUGCGGGAUGACGGCCUUCGGGUUGUAAACCGCUUUCAGCAGGGGCGAAGCUUGUGGUGACGGUACCUGCAGAAGAAGCACCGGCUAACUACGUG
RNAcentral lists this ribosomal RNA (465 nucleotides) under uncultured bacterium. Its description in RNAcentral is "partial 16S ribosomal RNA". It matches the Rfam family "Bacterial small subunit ribosomal RNA", at positions 28 to 507 of the family's 1533-position model. The record is from RNAcentral.